RNAcentral lists this ribosomal RNA (218 nucleotides) under Staphylococcus capitis. Its description in RNAcentral is "partial 16S ribosomal RNA". It matches the Rfam family "Bacterial small subunit ribosomal RNA", at positions 899 to 1114 of the family's 1533-position model. The record is from RNAcentral. Lineage: Bacteria; Bacillati; Bacillota; Bacilli; Caryophanales; Staphylococcaceae.
ACUCAAAGGAAUUGACGGGGACCCGCACAAGCGGUGGAGCAUGUGGUUUAAUUCGAAGCAACGCGAAGAACCUUACCAAAUCUUGACAUCCUCUGAUCCCUCUAGAGAUAGAGUUUUCCCCUUCGGGGGACAGAGUGACAGGUGGUGCAUGGUUGUCGUCAGCUCGUGUCGUGAGAUGUUGGGUUAAGUCCCGCAACGAGCGCAACCCUUAAGCUUAG